RNAcentral lists this ribosomal RNA (493 nucleotides) under uncultured bacterium. RNAcentral's name for it is "partial 16S ribosomal RNA". It matches the Rfam family "Bacterial small subunit ribosomal RNA", at positions 29 to 507 of the family's 1533-position model. The record is from RNAcentral.
AGUGAACGCUGGCGGUAGGCCUAACACAUGCAAGUCGAACGGCAGCACAGUAAGAGCUUGCUCUUACGGGUGGCGAGUGGCGGACGGGUGAGGAAUACAUCGGAAUCUACUUUUUCGUGGGGGAUAACGUAGGGAAACUUACGCUAAUACCGCAUACGACCUACGGGGUGAAGCAGGGGGAUUUUCGGCCCUGGCGCGAUUCAAGGAGCCGAUGGCGGAUUGGCUAGUUGGCGGGGUAAAGGCCCACCAAGGGGGGGAUCCGUGCCUGGUCUGAGAGGAGGAUCAGCCACACUGGAACUGAGACACGGUCCAGACUCCUACGGGAGGCAGCAGUGGGGAAUAGUGGACAAUGGGCGCAAGCCUGAUCCAGCCAUACCGCGUGGGUGAAGAAGGCCUUCGGGUUGUAAAGCCCUUUUGUUGGGAAAGAAAAGCAGCAGGUUAAUACCCCGCUGUUCUGACGGUACCCAAAGAAUAAGCACCGGCUAACUUCGUG